UACGUAGGGUGCGAGCGUUGUCCGGAAUUACUGGGCGUAAAGAGCUCGUAGGUGGUUUGUCGCGUUGUUCGUGAAAACCUGAGGCUUAACCUUGGGCGUGCGGGCGAUACGGGCAGACUGGAGUACUGCAGGGGAGACUGGAAUUCCUGGUGUAGCGGUGGAAUGCGCAGAUAUCAGGAGGAACACCGGUGGCGAAGGCGGGUCUCUGGGCAGUAACUGACGCUGAGGAGCGAAAGCGUGGGUAGCGGACAGG
This 253-nucleotide ribosomal RNA is filed under the name uncultured bacterium. RNAcentral describes it as "partial 16S ribosomal RNA". It matches the Rfam family "Bacterial small subunit ribosomal RNA", at positions 524 to 776 of the family's 1533-position model. The record is from RNAcentral.